Molecule: ribosomal RNA, 253 nt
Filed under: uncultured bacterium
Lineage: Bacteria
Description: partial 16S ribosomal RNA
Rfam family: Bacterial small subunit ribosomal RNA
Source: RNAcentral
UACGUAGGGUGCAAGCGUUAAUCGGAAUUACUGGGCGUAAAGCGUGCGCAGGCGGUUGUGCAAGACAGGUGUGAAAUCCCCGGGCUUAACCUGGGAACUGCACUUGUGACUGCACAGCUGGAGUACGGCAGAGGGGGAUGGAAUUCCGCGUGUAGCAGUGAAAUGCGUAGAUAUGCGGAGGAACACCGAUGGCGAAGGCAGUCCCCUGGGCUGACACUGACGCUGAGGCGCGAAAGCCAGGGGAGCAAACGGG